RNAcentral lists this small RNA (80 nucleotides) under Sinorhizobium meliloti 2011. Its description in RNAcentral is "putative ncRNA". Lineage: Bacteria; Pseudomonadati; Pseudomonadota; Alphaproteobacteria; Hyphomicrobiales; Rhizobiaceae. The record is from RNAcentral.
AUGGAAGCCGUAAGCCGUAGCGGGCGGCAAAACUCCGAAUCUUGACGGAUUCCUUGAAACACCCGCGGUUUGCGAGUAAA